UUGUUCAAAGAUUAAGCCAUGCAUGUCUAAGUAUAAGCAAUUAUACAGCGAAACUGCGAAUGGCUCAUUAUAUAAGUUAUCGUUUAUUUGAUAGUACCUUACUACAUGGAUAACCGUGGUAAUUCUAGAGCUAAUACAUGCUAAAAAUCCCAACUUCGGAAGGGAUGUAUUUAUUAGAUUAAAAACCAAUGCCCUCUGGGCUCUCUGGUGAUUCAUGAUAACUCUUCGAAUCGCAUGGCCUUGCGCUGGCGAUGGUUCAUUCAAAUUUCUUCCCUAUCAACUUUCGAUGUUUGGGUAUUGGCCAAACAUGGUUGCAACGGGUAACGGAGGGUUAGGGCUCGACCCCGGAGAAGGAGCCUGAGAAACGGCUACUACAUCCAAGGAAGGCAGCAGGCGCGCAAAUUACCCAAUCCCGACACGGGGAGGUAGUGACAAUAAAUACUGAUACAGGGCUCUUUCGGGUCUUGUAAUUGGAAUGAGUACAAUUUAAAUCCCUUAACGAGGAACAAUUGGAGGGCAAGUCUGGGCCAGCAGCCA
This 537-nucleotide ribosomal RNA is filed under the name uncultured Phyllachora. RNAcentral's name for it is "SSU rRNA". It matches the Rfam family "Eukaryotic small subunit ribosomal RNA", at positions 33 to 576 of the family's 1831-position model. The record is from RNAcentral. Lineage: Eukaryota; Fungi; Ascomycota; Sordariomycetes; Phyllachorales; Phyllachoraceae.